Magnolia sinica is the source of this 668-nucleotide long non-coding RNA. RefSeq lists it as uncharacterized. The record is from RefSeq and is a predicted model, not a curated record. Lineage: Eukaryota; Viridiplantae; Streptophyta; Magnoliopsida; Magnoliales; Magnoliaceae. The transcript has 3 exons.
GCCCUUAUUAAAUUCUUCUCUCCAUCUCUCUCUCUCUCUCUCUCUCUGUCUGCAAUCGGACUCGGAAUUCCAAUUAUCCCAUACAAAACCCCCAUAUCAUUUUUCUCAUUUCCUCCACACCCAAAAAACCCUAACCGACGACUCUCUCUCUCUACAAAUGGAUCGCCCAAACUCACCGCCUUUUCCUUUCAAAACCCUAACUCCAAGCAAAAGCUCCUUUGAUUCUUCUCUCCAUCUCUCUCUCUCUCUCUCUCUCUCUCUCUCUCUCUCUGCAAUUAGACUUGGAAUCUGGUCAAUUUUUUCUUGCAUUUUGUUCAUCAGGAGAUGCUUCAUUUCUCAUCUAAUUCAAUAAGAUGAUGGUCUAUUAGUAGGAGGCAUCGGGGUUGGGCCCAAGAUCGAGGAGGUGGACUAAGCACUGGAGAAUGUCUAAAAGUUUCUUUCAGCUAUCGAUGAAAUGGGGUUAUUAAGAUUUGAAGCAUCAGACCUAGAGCAGAAAGGGGCUCAUGGAGCUAUGAGAAGGAUCCAACUCAAGUGACAAGGGUCGUGUGGUGGAGGUUUGAGUGGCUACAUAUGUGAUAGGCUACACCCCUUGGAUGUAUGUUCCACCAACCCAAAGUCAUCCUGUAAAUCCUUGUUGAAAAAUGCAGGCGAAUUAAUAACAUAUAAUA